CCCCACAUACACUUUCCUGUGCAGAUUCUGACGGGGACAUGGAGCUGCUGCAGCUCCUCUCUCUGCUAAUGGGGCUGCUAGCCAUUGCCCUCUCAGGUGCAGGAGGCAGAUUAGUGGAGCAGUCAUCCCCAUAUUUAAUGGUGCAGUUGGGAGCAUCGGAAUCAGUGACCUGCACCUUGAAGGACACAACCUACCCCUGGAUGAGCUGGUAUCUGCAGGAUGUCCAAAACCAGCUGCACUUCCUGGUGCAAUCAGGAACCAAGGGUGGCCCUGAGGAAAUAUCCUUGAUGGAAACAUCCUACAGGUCUGAGCGGGUCAGUAACACGGAGCUCAGGUUGGAGAUAAAGAAUGUGACUCAGUCCCAGACCAUCUACUGCACCUGCAGCACAGGGCACAGGUUCGGCUCCCUCUAA
This is a non-coding RNA of Trachemys scripta elegans, 413 nucleotides long. NCBI's taxonomy places the organism in Eukaryota, Metazoa, Chordata, Testudines, Emydidae. The record is from the annotation of a RefSeq genome assembly.